UCCAGUCGGUGGAAGAGACACAGA
RNAcentral lists this non-coding RNA (24 nucleotides) under Cricetulus griseus (Chinese hamster). The record is from RNAcentral. Lineage: Eukaryota; Metazoa; Chordata; Mammalia; Rodentia; Cricetidae.